Molecule: transfer RNA, 68 nt
Filed under: Lysinibacillus sp. JNUCC-52
Lineage: Bacteria; Bacillati; Bacillota; Bacilli; Caryophanales; Bacillaceae
Also listed under: 1 other name
Description: tRNA-Tyr
Rfam family: tRNA
About the family: Transfer RNA (tRNA) molecules are approximately 80 nucleotides in length.
Source: RNAcentral
GUGGCAUAGCCAAGUGGUAAGGCAAAGUUUGUAAAACCUUUUUCUCGGUUCAAAUCCGAGUGCCACCU